UACGUAGGGCGCAAGCGUUGUCCGGAAUUAUUGGGCGUAAAGAGCUCGUAGGCGGUUUGUCGCGUCUGCUGUGAAAACCUAAGGCUCAACCUUGGGCUUGCAGUGGGUACGGGCAGACUAGAGUGCGGUAGGGGUGACUGGAAUUCCUGGUGUAGCGGUGAAAUGCGCAGAUAUCAGGAGGAACACCGAUGGCGAAGGCAGGUCUCUGGGCCGAUACUGACGGCUGAGGCGACGGAAAGCCAGGGGAGCGAACGGG
RNAcentral lists this ribosomal RNA (256 nucleotides) under uncultured bacterium. RNAcentral describes it as "partial 16S ribosomal RNA". It matches the Rfam family "Bacterial small subunit ribosomal RNA", at positions 524 to 776 of the family's 1533-position model. The record is from RNAcentral.